Molecule: unclassified non-coding RNA, 267 nt
Filed under: Hevea brasiliensis (rubber tree)
Lineage: Eukaryota; Viridiplantae; Streptophyta; Magnoliopsida; Malpighiales; Euphorbiaceae
Source: RNAcentral
AAUUGCAGAUCUUAGCUUAGUGCGUGAGCUCAUGGAACUUGAGGCAAAGCACAAGCAUUUGAAACCAAGGCAAAGGAUAUGCAGUGUGAAUUAACUACAGCAAAAGACAAGCUGGAAAAAUCAAGGACAGAAAUCCAUGGCACAUGAUCAGAGAGAGGUAACAUCUACCCCGAAUUCACCUUUAUUGUCAUUGGCCAAGCAAAUUGAGAAGGAAAAACAUGUGUUUGUCGGUUGAAAAAAUGCCAUUCAGAACUUGCAAAAUCAAAG